GGAGAGUGAAGCUCAUCAGCAGGGCCACAUGCUGAGUGCUUAUCACUUGCUGGCCCCUGGGAAGUUCUGAGACUGGGCCCUCCAGGAGAAAGCAGGGAGGUGAAUUCCCAGAGCAGGCUGACCCUGCAGGAGAGGCCCUGGGUGGGCGGGCAGAUGCCUCCCUCACAGGAGCUUGGAACAGACUCAGGGCCAGGAUGGGCAGGGCUGGUAUUAGCCUGCAGGAGAGGCUCCUGUGACUCUCACAGAGGGUGGAAAUGCACUCUCUCUACAGGCAGGCAGAGUUGGGGAGAUAGGUGAGGUUGGGAGUUUACUGCCUGCACACUCUGAAUCUAAAUCCCCCUCC
Molecule: RNase P RNA, 343 nt
Filed under: Peromyscus maniculatus bairdii (prairie deer mouse)
Lineage: Eukaryota; Metazoa; Chordata; Mammalia; Rodentia; Cricetidae
Description: Nuclear RNase P (ENSPEMG00000025885.1)
Rfam family: Nuclear RNase P
About the family: Ribonuclease P (RNase P) is a ubiquitous endoribonuclease, found in archaea, bacteria and eukarya as well as chloroplasts and mitochondria. Its best characterised activity is the generation of mature 5'-ends of tRNAs by cleaving the 5'-leader elements of precursor-tRNAs. Cellular RNase Ps are ribonucleoproteins.
Source: RNAcentral